AGAAUUAGGUGAAAAACAGAUAUGAAGGAAGAUGCAUUGUCCCCAAAUCACUAUUUUAUAUUUUGCAAAAUCUACUUCAAGUUUUUGCUUUUAUUUUUAUUUCAAAGAUUGUGUGAGUGUGUGUGUGUGUGUGUGUGUGUGUGUGCAUGCUCUGAUAAAUGUAGAUGAUAACUGCAUACAUAAUCGUCUCUUGGAAUCAUCUGCUCUUCUA
This 211-nucleotide small RNA is filed under the name Marmota monax (woodchuck). The record is from RNAcentral. Lineage: Eukaryota; Metazoa; Chordata; Mammalia; Rodentia; Sciuridae.